UUCAUUAGAGGAUAUGCUUGGUUAUAGAAAAGAAAAGGGAGAUUGGGUGUUAGAGAUUUUGUACAUUAAUAUUAAAAAAAUUAAAUCUGACAAAUAAUUUUCUGUAUUUUACGUAGAAAGGUAAAAGCUUUUUAACAUAUUUCUUUGCCUGAUGAAUAUUUUACAGUACCAUAAUUUCAUGUGCCAGGUUUUUUAAUUCUCAGGAUAUCUGAUUUAUUGAGGAUGUCAUUUCAUUCAAGCUGCAGCCCCACAGAUAAAAAUCUGAAACAUUUAGAUCGUGAAAAGUUGAUAACCGUUUAAUGUGUCCAUAUAACAAAACAGUUUUCGUAUAUAUAUUACUGAUUAAAGUGUUUGACAUGAUAAAUGAGAAGAAACAAAUCACACUAUCUAUGGAGCAACCAUUAAAGGUCUUAGAAGACAUAAAAGUAUCAAGUACUACAGUUGUUGCUAUAAAAUAUAACGUAGAUAAAUCAACGUAGGAUAAAGAGGAACGCUGCGAAAAUUCUAGAAUUUGCAGACAAAAGUAGGAUACAGAAAAGAAGGCAGAGGAUAAGAAAACCUUUAUAUGAGUAACUAGAUCAACACUUACUGACGUGGUUUAAAGAGAAGACCUCUGGAGAUUAUUUAUCGGACGCCUUGCUUUUUAAAAAGGCUACCAAAUUGAGAGACAACAUGGGGUCAUGUUCUAGUUUUAGAGUAAGCGAUGGCUGGUUAGCGGGUUUAAAAAACGCCAUAACAUACGUCUAACGCGAACCAAUGGAAGGAAUGUUAUUGCCAAUGAAGGAACUAACAAAUUUAUUAAGGACUUUGAAAAAUUAAUGAAGAGAGAAGAUAUUACGAAAGAAAACAUAUACAAUGACAUAAAAUCUCAGCGGAAAUACUGGAUUGCGAAAACUUUAAAGUAAUUUAUCUACCGUCGAAUACGAACGUCGAAUAUUCUCAUACAACCCAUGAGCCAAGGUAUAAUGGCCAAGCUAAAAAAAACUUUAUCACCAUAAAACAUUACGAAAAGCUGCAAUAUAUGGCGGAAUGGACGAAUUCCAUGCACGUUAUUUAAUCAAAGAUUGUUAGACGAGUCAUGGACAGAGGUAACAGUAAAAAAUAUUAGAGAUGCUUGGAGAAAGAUUAUACCGCACCAAAGAGAUAUUUACCAUUGUGAUCUGCAACAUGACAUAAGCGUUAUUACUGGUAAGAGAUUCUAAGCAGAGGAAGUAAUACAAUUUAUAGACUGUCAAAAAGCCGAAAGUAGAAGCGUAUUUGUAAAGGAGGAGAAGCAAGACGAGUAUGAAAAUGCAAUGGAAGAACAGUGCAAAAUUAAAGAAUAUAAAGAAAUCGGAGCUGUAUAACAAUAUAGAAACGAUGAUCUGGAGUAUUUAUUUAAACUUUUACAUGUAUAUGUAUUAAGGCAAGCGCUUUUUAUUCAACAAAUAUUUCAAAUUCUUAAAAAUCAUUUUUUAG
This 1458-nucleotide unclassified non-coding RNA is filed under the name Bombus terrestris (buff-tailed bumblebee). Its description in RNAcentral is "misc RNA ENSBTSG00005019783.1". The record is from RNAcentral. Lineage: Eukaryota; Metazoa; Arthropoda; Insecta; Hymenoptera; Apidae.